UUCAUAUUUAUAACUUAUUGUCAUACUAUAUUCAUUUACUCUGAAGAUGUCUUAGGUUAAAGACGAAACGUUAGUACUUCCAAAUAAAUUUUAUUUCUAUAUUAUUGUCUAUAUGGCUCUCUUUCGUACGUUAUGCUGGGCAUUAAUCUUUAUAAUACGAUUACGAUUGCCGCCUGGUUCAUCACUUGCAAGUAUAUAGGGUACUGUACAACGAAUUUUAGAGUAAAACUACUUAUGGUGGUAUGUAGGCAGACAUAUCUAUGAUAUAUAGAUGAUUUCGUCCGGAAAGCGAUAAAAGAAAUAAAGACUUACAUGGAUUAUGGAUAACGUAAACAUGGACAAACGUUGCUCUAACUUCUCUAGUUUUCUUUGUUUUUUAAAGAAGAAGAAUUUUUACCAUAUGUACACCAAUUUACUUGUUACAGUAACAUCAUGCACAACUACAAAUAAAAGUUAAAUGAAGAUAUAUAGUCUGCUACAAGUUCUCAUCAGUUAUGCCCCCCCCAGUUAUAUUUAGUCUAACCUGAGUCAUUUAGUAUAAUGAAAAGUCAGUAUAUAAUUUGCUCCAUUAAUCUAUCCGAUUUACCGGCAAACUAUUUAUCAGGAAAAAAGUAGCACGAGAAAAGGUCUCCGUCAUUCAUAUAUAAAUCUAUUAAUAUAUUCCAGGAGUGUCAACAACUUUGUAAUUCUUGCGCGUAAGGGACGGACCAUUUGAUUUUUGAUGGGGGGGGUGGGUAGAAUCCCCAAAAAAAUAUCGGGCAAGCAAUUCAAACUUAAAAAAAAUAUCGUGCAAGACUAAACGGACGAAAAAAAAUAUCGAGCAAGACUUUCGAGUGGUAAUCCUUAUUUGCCAUUCGGUGCAUUUCCGCGUGUAGCCAAGGGCCGUAUGUAGCAACCAGGGGGCUGCAGGGUCCAGGAAAUGGCAUUUCAGAGACUCUAAAUUUAAAAAUUUCCUCGGGCCUUCGGCCCUCGCUUCCAGACCCCCCAAUCAAAAAGAGCUUCCUACGGCCCUGUAGCAUAAAUAAUGGGAGGACCAGUAUAAUUCCAAAAAUGGUUGUUCUUCAUUUCUUUACUCCGACUCCUAUGAUGAACAUGUACGUAAAAAAACUAGGAAAACUACGAUUAAAUCACGGCCGUAGAAACCAAAAUAGGUGAAAUUUUUAUGGGACACGAUCAAAGGCGAGGAUAUAAGAGCGAGAGAUUGAAAUUGAGUAGGAAUAGAUUUUCGAUCUAACAGUUUUCUUCAGCCUGCAGGGUUUUUUAAGAGGAGGGAGGGGGGGUGUUGAUAUAAUUUGAAGAGGAGAAGGAAGGAGAGUUCAUAGGAGUUCGGAAAAUAAUGUGAGACCAAGAGGAAAACAAAUUAUUACAAAAAAGCUGAAAAUAACCAAUUACACAGUGAAAGGAUGUAACCAUUAUACAUGUUAUUAGUCAAGUUAUCCUACCAAAGGUCUUGUUGUUUGCGGGACAUUCCAACACUACGCACUUUAUUGUUCAUCGUUCGUAUUGGUGAAGUGAAGCAAAUUUGCAGGUUAACUAACUUAACUUACUCAAUGGUAUAGUGAGUUUGAAUUGUGAUUGUGAUGGUAAGGGUGAUCAUGUGACUGUAGGUGAUUGCAUCCAAAUAUGGUGUUAGUGGCGUAGGAGCUUGUAAGACAGGGAUAGGUGCGUUUGGCAAUUAGUGAUACAUAAGGAAUAAAAAUAAUGAUAACACCGUGCAGGGUUUGAUUUUUGUUUCAAAUAUAUGAAUAUACAAUAAUAAUAACUAAAACAUGUACAUAUAUAACGAAA
Non-coding RNA from Paramuricea clavata, 1788 nucleotides. Lineage: Eukaryota; Metazoa; Cnidaria; Anthozoa; Malacalcyonacea; Plexauridae. The record is from the annotation of a GenBank genome assembly.